Papaver somniferum (opium poppy) is the source of this 1685-nucleotide long non-coding RNA. RefSeq lists it as uncharacterized. The record is from RefSeq and is a predicted model, not a curated record. NCBI's taxonomy places the organism in Eukaryota, Viridiplantae, Streptophyta, Magnoliopsida, Ranunculales, Papaveraceae. The transcript is spliced from 9 exons.
CGCCUCUUUUAGUUCGCAGUGUUCCUUUUUCUCCCAAACCUUAAAUCAAAUCAGAUUCUUCAAUCUCUUGGCCGAUCAUAAUCAACCACACCUUAUUGUGAUUCACUAGCAGUUCGUAUGAGUUCAGGGAAACCUCAUCACAAUUUGAAAAAAAAAAAAAUUAUCACCGAAUCUUCAGUUUACAAAAUCAACAACAAAUCAACCAAAUCUUAAGUAAAAUGUUUUGCAGUCACCGAAAUAACAAUUAUCCUAUUCGUGAAGCUAGCGGUGCAAAGAACUACCAGAUUUGAUAAAUGGGAAGUUGAAGAGAGGAUAGUCUUGAAGCUUCUAAGAGUUAUUUCUGAAGUUUGAAGCCUAACUUGUUCAGAUCCGUAGAGAGUUGAAGAGUCUCUAACAAACCCCCAAUUUCUUACUCUUUUUAUAAUUUUUUUCCCUCAUUUUUUUCAUCAAAAUCUGAAGUAAUGGGUAUAGGGAUUUGAUUAGAUUAGCCAUUUAGUUCUUCUCAAAAUCUAUGCUACCAGAUCAAGUUCAAAUAACUACGAUUGAAAUCCAUUCAAGGUUCUUUUAAUGAUGGUGUGGUAGUGGUGAUGAACUAAGAAUAAUUGUUUCAAAUGAAAGAUUUGAGAAGGUUAUUGGUCUAAUUUUCUGUUGUCUGGACUCGUUCGUUAAGACAAUUGAGGUGUGGAAACAAGAGACUAUAUUGAGCAAAAGACCAGCAGCAAAAUUGCACUUUGAGUCUUAGAGAAAAAUCCUGAAAGAACAGGAAAAGGGUGUGUCCUAGAGGGAUACAAUGGGACGGUGAUGGCUUAUGGACAGACUUGCACAUGGAAGACAUUUACUCUUGGACUGCUCGGAGAGGAGAGGAAGAUACUGCAGCUCGUGGUAGUAUGGUUCGAGCGAUGGAGGAUAUCUUAGCUGAUGUUCCUCCAAGCGGAUUAUGUGUCAAUUUCUUAGUCGCAGAUUAAAGCUAUGUGACACAUGGUAGAAAACAGUCCACAUGAAGUCACAAGGUUGCUUCGAGAUUCUUUUGGAGGCGCAAUAAGAACCUCAUUGGUUGUUACGAUCAGGCCAUCUCCCGUCAUUGGGGAGACACUUUAAGUACAUUUAUCGUGUUUGGAAAACAGGCUAUGAAAGUGGAGAAUAUGGUGGAAGGCAGCAGAAAGUAUUCCAUGGUGAGCUUGAAAGAAUAGCUGUAGAAGCACAAGGUCGUGUCUCUGAGGAGCUAUUCAUAAGCAUUGGAGGGAAUCCCGGUUUGUGUUCAUGAAGGCGUGGUGAUGCAACUGCAUUUAAUGCAUCUAGAUCGCUCUUAGGUCUGUGCCUACUGCUGGUGGUGUUAAGAUCUCGUGCUGAUACCACUUUGGAAUUUUCGCUAUUCGCUCAUGAGUGUUGGCUUGAUCCUUCACAUGGCAAAGGCUCAGAAGAUAGUUGAUGGUGGUCUUUGGAGCAGUUGCAGUAUGAAGUAUAUGUGUGGAAGAACCCUGAUUUUGGGUAUGCCAAAAUCUUCUUAGGCAUAUAAAGCACAAGUCCUAACUUGGGUGACCUUAUAAGGGGUACCCUAUGGGGUGGUUCAAUUAUUUAUAUGCCCUUAAAUCCUUUAAAUUACUAUUAAUCUAUCCCUAACCCUAAUACAAAACCUAUAAUCAACUACACCUAAAAUCAAUUUCAUUCACCUUCUUCUUUUUCCU